This 402-nucleotide ribosomal RNA is filed under the name uncultured bacterium. RNAcentral's name for it is "bacterial SSU rRNA". It matches the Rfam family "Bacterial small subunit ribosomal RNA", at positions 355 to 773 of the family's 1533-position model. The record is from RNAcentral.
UAGGGAAUAUUGCAAAAUGGGCGAAAGCCCGAUGCAGCAACGCCGCGUGGGCGAUGAAGGCCUUCGGGUCGUAAAGCCCUUUUUGAGGGGAUGAGGAAGGACAGUACCCUCAGAAUAAGCCUCGGCUAGCUACGUGCCAGCAGCCGCGGUAAAACGUAGGAGGCGAGCGUUAUCCGGAUUUACUGGGCGUAAAGCGCGUGCAGGCGGAUUGGAGAGUUGGAUGUGAAAGCUCCCGGCUUAACUGGGAGAGGUCGUUCAAUACUUCCAGUCUUGAGUGCAGUAGAGGGAAGUGGAAUUCCGGGUGUAGUGGUGAAAUGCGUAGAUAUCCGGAGGAACACCAGUGGCGAAAGCGGCUUCCUGGACUGUAACUGACGCUCAGACGCGAAAGCUAGGGUAGCAAAC